AACGAACGCUGGCGGCAGGCCUAACACAUGCAAGUCGAGCGCCCCGCAAGGGGAGCGGCGGACGGGUGAGUAACGCGUGGGAACGUACCCUUUUCUGCGGAAUAGCCCAGGGAAACUUGGAUUAAUACCGCAUACGCCCUUCGGGGGAAAGAUUUAUCGGAGAAGGAUCGGCCCGCGUUGGAUUAGGUAGUUGGUGGGGUAAUGGCCUACCAAGCCGACGAUCCAUAGCUGGUUUGAGAGGAUGAUCAGCCACACUGGGACUGAGACACGGCCCAGACUCCUACGGGAGGCAGCAGUGGGGAAUCUUCGGCAAUGGGCGCAAGCCUGACCGAGCCAUGCCGCGUGAGCGAUGAAGGCCUUAGGGUUGUAAAGCUCUUUCGCCAGGGAUGAUAAUGACAGUACCUGGUAAAGAAACCCCGGCUAACUCCGUG
Molecule: ribosomal RNA, 431 nt
Filed under: uncultured organism
Description: bacterial SSU rRNA
Rfam family: Bacterial small subunit ribosomal RNA
Source: RNAcentral